RNAcentral lists this small RNA (80 nucleotides) under bacteria symbiont BFo1 of Frankliniella occidentalis. Its description in RNAcentral is "isrK". Lineage: Bacteria; Pseudomonadati; Pseudomonadota; Gammaproteobacteria; Enterobacterales; Erwiniaceae. The record is from RNAcentral.
GCUGGCCCACAAUGGGCAGCCGGGUUUAGCAGCCUGUUUCAAAGUGCGGGGAUAUACCGCUAUAAUUCAGCGGUUUUUUU